Molecule: ribosomal RNA, 253 nt
Filed under: uncultured bacterium
Lineage: Bacteria
Description: partial 16S ribosomal RNA
Rfam family: Bacterial small subunit ribosomal RNA
Source: RNAcentral
UACGAGAGGUCCAAACGUUAUUCGGAAUCACUGGGCUUACAGGGUGCGUAGGCGGCUCAACAAGUCAGGUGUGAAAGCCCCCGGCUCAACCGGGGAACUGCGCUUGAAACUGUUAGGCUCGAGUCAGCUAGAGGUACACGGAACUUCCAGUGGAGCGGUGAAAUGUGUUGAUAUUGGAAGGAACACCGGAGGCGAAAGCGGUGUACUGGGGCUGGUCUGACGCUGAGGCACGAAAGCCAGGGGAGCGAACGGG